This 546-nucleotide ribosomal RNA is filed under the name Rhodotorula sinensis. RNAcentral describes it as "eukaryotic LSU rRNA". It matches the Rfam family "Eukaryotic large subunit ribosomal RNA", at positions 88 to 647 of the family's 3401-position model. The record is from RNAcentral. Lineage: Eukaryota; Fungi; Basidiomycota; Microbotryomycetes; Sporidiobolales; Sporidiobolaceae.
GGCGAGCGAAGCGGGAAGAGCUCAAAUUUGUAAUCUGGCACCUUCGGUGUCCGAGUUGUAAUCUCUAGAAGUGUUUUCCGCGUUGGACCGCACACAAGUCUGUUGGAAUACAGCGGCAUAGUGGUGAUACCCCAUUACACGGUGCGGACGCCCAGCGCUUUGUGAUACACUUUCGACGAGUCGAGUUGUUUGGGAAUGCAGCUCAAAUUGGGUGGUAAAUUCCAUCUAAAGCUAAAUAUUGGCGAGAGACCGAUAGCGAACAAGUACCGUGAGGGAAAGAUGAAAAGCACUUUGGAAAGAGAGUUAAAAGUACGUGAAAUUGUUGGAAGGGAAACGCUUGAAGUCAGACUUGCUUGCCGGGCUUGCUCGGUUUGCAGGCCAGCAUCAGUUUUCCGGGGCGGAUAAUGGCAGUUAGAAUGUAGCAGUCUCGGCUGUGUUAUAGCUUUCUGCUGGAUACGUCCUGGGGGACUGAGGAACGCAGCGUGCCGUAUGGCGAGGGCUUCGGUCCUUUCACGCUUAGGAUGCUGGUGGAAUGGCUUUAAACGA